CAGACAUACUCAUAUAACGCACAAAAAAAACUGUUGUAAUGUGACUAAACAUUACAACAAGUGCCAGAUGAGUCAAAACGGUCGCAAGCUAACAGGAGCAGUAUUCACUUCAAUAUGCUAACAAAAAAGUAGGAAGAUUGGUCGUGUGCCAGAAAAUGCUUUUUGUACAUACACGUACAUUAAAGUGCCUUUAUAACUAAUUUUCCGUUGCUUUAUAUGUCCUUAAGCUAUUAAAUCAGUUGUUGUUGUUAAGUUGACAGGUUAGCAGCACCAGCUAGCACAACAUCUGCUAAACAGCUAAACAACCCCGCAAACGUCCUGAAGUCAUGUCUACAGUCAGCUUUUGGAGGCUUUCUUUCUCUCCUUGCUGUGAGGAGAAAACAUUGGGAGCAGCACCUAUCAAGCCACCAAUGUAAUCCUGAGGAGUAUUGACCAGGCUUGCAUCUAAAGGGAACGACCAAAGCGUCUGUUUGCUGUCCAACACACCCUUCUGCAUGUAAAGUGUUUUUGCUCGCUCCUUAUCCAGAACAGCCAGUUUCUGCAAGGGGAAAAUGUUUGAUCACUAAAGUUAAAAUGGCACACAUUUGUAGAAUAUGCAUAUUAAGUAAACAACAUGGUCUUUGAGCAAUUUUAUUGUAAUUCAAAAUAAAAUUAUAAAAACUAA
This is a long non-coding RNA of Megalobrama amblycephala (Wuchang bream), 664 nucleotides long. RefSeq lists it as uncharacterized. The transcript has 2 exons. The record is from RefSeq and is a predicted model, not a curated record. Lineage: Eukaryota; Metazoa; Chordata; Actinopteri; Cypriniformes; Xenocyprididae.